GCCCGAUUGGUUCAGUGGUAGAGCGCCUGCUUUGGGUCAACCAAUAAUUUGUAGGAGGUCAGUCAAUCGUUUCCAGCUCGUCGAGCCUAGCUUACAAGGAUUCAGGUCACGUGUUCAAUCCGCGUAUCGGGCC
RNAcentral lists this transfer RNA (133 nucleotides) under Mixia osmundae IAM 14324. It matches the Rfam family "tRNA". From Rfam's summary of the family: Transfer RNA (tRNA) molecules are approximately 80 nucleotides in length. Their secondary structure includes four short double-helical elements and three loops (D, anti-codon, and T loops). The record is from Rfam by way of RNAcentral. Lineage: Eukaryota; Fungi; Basidiomycota; Mixiomycetes; Mixiales; Mixiaceae.